GUAUCUAUUUAUAAAAGACAUUCUAACAUUUUAAAACCAAGUUUGCAAAAGACCUCGGCGGGGAGUCCCUAGAUUGGGCGCACAUCUGCGACCCCGCCAAAGUAACCAAAACAGUUCACAAAGGUGUAAGAUUGAACUGGGUCAAAGACCCCAUUCAGUAAUGAUCCUUCCGCAGGUUCACCUACGGAAA
Molecule: unclassified non-coding RNA, 190 nt
Filed under: uncultured fungus
Lineage: Eukaryota; Fungi
Description: sequence contains ITS1
Source: RNAcentral